This 309-nucleotide ribosomal RNA is filed under the name Listeria monocytogenes. RNAcentral's name for it is "partial 23S ribosomal RNA". It matches the Rfam family "Bacterial large subunit ribosomal RNA", at positions 887 to 1195 of the family's 2925-position model. Lineage: Bacteria; Bacillati; Bacillota; Bacilli; Caryophanales; Listeriaceae. The record is from RNAcentral.
UAAAGAGUCAUGGAGGUAGAGCACUGUUUGGACUAGGGGCCCUUCUCGGGUUACCGAAUUCAGAUAAACUCCGAAUGCCAUGUACUUAUACUCGGGAGUCAGACUGCGAGUGAUAAGAUCCGUAGUCGAAAGGGAAACAGCCCAGACCACCAGUUAAGGUCCCCAAAUAUAUGUUAAGUGGAAAAGGAUGUGGGGUUGCUUAGACAACCAGGAUGUUGGCUUAGAAGCAGCCACCAUUGAAAGAGUGCGUAAUAGCUCACUGGUCGAGUGACCCCGCGCCGAAAAUGUACCGGGGCUAAACAUAUUACC